AUACGAAGGUCCCAAGCGUUAUUCGGAAUCACUGGGCGUAAAGAGUAAGUAGGCGGUUUGGUAAGUCAGGUGUGAAAUCCCGAAGCUCAACUUCGGAACUGCAUCCGAUACUGCCAGACUAGAGUAAUGGAGAGGCAGGUGGAAUUCUCGGUGUAGCAGUGAAAUGCGUGGAUAUCGAGAGGAAGACCAAUGGCGAAGGCAGCCUGCUGGACAUUUACUGACGCUGAGGUACGAAGGCUAGGGGAGCGAAAGGGAUUAGAAACCCGUGUAGUCC
RNAcentral lists this ribosomal RNA (274 nucleotides) under uncultured bacterium. RNAcentral describes it as "partial 16S ribosomal RNA". It matches the Rfam family "Bacterial small subunit ribosomal RNA", at positions 523 to 796 of the family's 1533-position model. The record is from RNAcentral.